GUACCCUCAAGCUUUGCUUGGUGUUGGGCGUCUUGUCUCUAGCUUUGCUGGAGACUCGCCUUAAAGUAAUUGGCAGCCGGCCUACUGGUUUCGGAGCGCAGCACAAGUCGCACUCUCUAUCAGCAAAGGUCUAGCAUCCAUUAAGCCUUUUUUCAAC
RNAcentral lists this unclassified non-coding RNA (157 nucleotides) under Alternaria alstroemeriae. RNAcentral's name for it is "sequence contains ITS2". The record is from RNAcentral. Lineage: Eukaryota; Fungi; Ascomycota; Dothideomycetes; Pleosporales; Pleosporaceae. RNAcentral also lists the same sequence under 7 other names.